AGUUUUGUGCAGUGGCAGCAUCAUAGCCAGUGAGGUUUAUCUGAGGAGUGAUUAUUGCUAAUUGAAAACUUUUCCCAGUACCCCGCCAUGAUGGCUUGAAAUAUAGUUGGCGUUGGCAUUUUUUGACAGUCUGUAUGGAGA
Small nuclear RNA from Homo sapiens (human), 141 nucleotides. The record is from Ensembl. Lineage: Eukaryota; Metazoa; Chordata; Mammalia; Primates; Hominidae.